GGAUAUAGGUCAGUGGUAAAGCAUUUGCCUAGCAUGCACAAGGCCCUAGGUUCAAUACCCAACUCCA
RNAcentral lists this transfer RNA (67 nucleotides) under Marmota monax (woodchuck). Its description in RNAcentral is "tRNA.Ala". The record is from RNAcentral. Lineage: Eukaryota; Metazoa; Chordata; Mammalia; Rodentia; Sciuridae.